Molecule: long non-coding RNA, 1113 nt
Organism: Hypanus sabinus (Atlantic stingray)
Lineage: Eukaryota; Metazoa; Chordata; Chondrichthyes; Myliobatiformes; Dasyatidae
Exons: 3
Source: RefSeq, a predicted model, not a curated record
CAAACUGCCCACGACUGUAUCCGAGAACAAGCUAAUUGGAAAUGAAUGCUCUUGAAGAGUCACGAAUUCCCCUAAAGAAAAAUCCCCUGCUUCACAGACAGAGAUAAGAGUUUAAAGAUACACGUCUGGGCCGCACAACAAAAGGAUUACAGGCGAAGCACCCUUAUCCUGGAGAAGUUCAUGAUUCCCAUGGUUCCACAGAAGCUGUCCAUCUUGAUCUCUGCAAACACCACACAAGCACAAAGAUCAGAGGCACCCAUACCCCGCGGGGAGGAUCAAGUGCUGGACCAAAAUGUACACAGGUUCCAACUCUCCCCAGACUCUACCCCUUGCAUCAGCUGCUCCACACUGAUCCGCCAAGUUCCUCCAGCCGCAAACAGGUGGCUGGAGAUGAAAUGACUGGCACUUUGAGCCUUAGUUUGGAGUUACGACUGGGUCUGUACUGGAAGACAACGUCUCGGCCUCUGCAGGCUGGCGAGCUGGAGUCGGUGCUCACUCGCAGACUGGCCUCUAUCUGAGGAGAAUGGGUUGGUUGGGUAUGGUUGGCUCUUCGGAUUCGACAAGCUGAACCACCAUGCGAGCAGGCCUUUAUGUCUAAGAUCACAUCUGGCAGGUGACAAUGUGUCUCCAGUUCAAGGCUGAGAUGAUUUUAUUGCCAUUCCAUCGUAUACACGUACACCACCAAAUGAAACAGCGUCCCAAGGUGCACAACACCGUAUUUACCACUCACACACACAACACAUAAAGUCAUAUUGCCACAAAUAAUUAACAAGCAGUAAAGUGCAUUUAUUACACAAGUUAAAAAGUAAACAGUGUGACACUGCCACCGUUCCAUAGGUGAUGAGACCUGGGAGGAGGCAGGGAGUUCAGUCUUGCGGCCCAGGGGAAGAACCUGUUUCCCAGCCUGACACUUCUUGUCUUAAUGCCAACCUAAGUCUUAAUUUCUGGGAUGAAGGAAAUAAAGACGUGUCUCUGGUGUCUCAAAUUAAGGACAUGAGACCUUCAACAUGGUGUGAAUUUUUAAUUUAUUCUUAAUUCCCACCAAUUUAUCCCAAAGCUUCGAUCUGUCUGUUGACCAGGGUUCACAACUUUUUUCACAACUGGACUUUGAAC